ACGAACGCUGGCGGCGUGCCUAAUACAUGCAAGUCGAACGGCUUUUCUAUGGAAGCUUGCUUCCACUGAGAAGAUAGUGGCGAACGGGUGAGUAACACGUGGGUAACCUGCCCAUAAGAGGGGGAUAACAUCCGGAAACGGGUGCUAAUACCGCAUAGUUUUCUUGAUUGCAUGAUUGAGAAAGGAAAGACGGCCUUUGUGCUGUCGCUUAUGGAUGGACCCGCGGCGUAUUAGUUAGUUGGUGAGGUAACGGCUCACCAAGACGAUGAUACGUAGCCGACCUGAGAGGGUGAUCGGCCACAUUGGGACUGAGACACGGCCCAAACUCCUACGGGAGGCAGCAGUAGGGAAUCUUCCGCAAUGGACGAAAGUCUGACGGAGCAACGCCGCGUGAGUGAAGAAAGGUUUUCGGAUCGUAAAACUCUGUUGUCAGAGAAGAACAAGUUGGAGAGUAACUGCUCCAGCCUUGACGGUAUCUGACCAGAAAGCCACGGCUAACUACGUGCCAGCCGCUGC
RNAcentral lists this ribosomal RNA (516 nucleotides) under uncultured bacterium. Its description in RNAcentral is "bacterial SSU rRNA". It matches the Rfam family "Bacterial small subunit ribosomal RNA", at positions 29 to 518 of the family's 1533-position model. The record is from RNAcentral.